AAGACCGCACUCUAAAGGAUCAUUUCUUUAGUCUGCAUCCCGUCUUUGUUGCUCAACAAAGACAAGUCUCCCAUGCAGGUUGAUGAGCUGUAACCUCGUUGCUUGAGCGCGAAGUGGAGGCGUGUUCUAAUGCGAGGCUGUCAAAAGCCAUGCAGCCGCCUCGUUAAUGAACGCCUUCUCGACGUUUUGCAACCGAGCUCACGUUGUGCGCGCCGAGGAGAGGCAAUGGGGUAGUCUUACUGCAG
Molecule: small nucleolar RNA, 245 nt
Filed under: Capsaspora owczarzaki ATCC 30864
Lineage: Eukaryota; Filasterea; Ministeriida; Capsasporidae
Description: ACEA small nucleolar RNA U3
Rfam family: Small nucleolar RNA U3
About the family: Small nucleolar RNAs (snoRNAs) are involved in the processing and modification of rRNA in the nucleolus.
Source: Rfam by way of RNAcentral